Molecule: ribosomal RNA, 483 nt
Filed under: uncultured bacterium
Lineage: Bacteria
Description: SSU rRNA
Rfam family: Bacterial small subunit ribosomal RNA
Source: RNAcentral
AGGACGAACGCUGGCGGCGUGCUUAACACAUGCAAGUCGAACGAGGUCCAUCUGGUAGCAAUACCAGUGAAGACCUAGUGGCGAACGGGUGAGUAACGCGUGAGCAACCUGCCCCGAAGACCGGGAUAACAGCGGGAAACCGCUGCUAAUACCGGAUAUCCCCAUCGGACCACAUGGCCUGAUGAGGAAAUGGAUUCCGCUUCGGGAGGGGCUCGCGGCCUAUUAGCUUGUUGGUGGGGUAACGGCCUACCAAGGCGAUGAUGGGUAGCUGGUCUGAGAGGACGAUCAGCCACACUGGGACUGAGACACGGCCCAGACUCCUACGGGAGGCAGCAGUUAGGAAUUUUCCGCAAUGGGCGAAAGCCUGACGGAGCAACGCCGCGUGAGUGAUGAAGACCUUAGGGUUGUAAAGCUCUGUCGGAGGGGAAGAACACAAUGACGGUACCUCCAAGAAAGCCCGGCUAACUACGUGCCAGCAGCCGC